Nylanderia fulva is the source of this 1491-nucleotide non-coding RNA. Lineage: Eukaryota; Metazoa; Arthropoda; Insecta; Hymenoptera; Formicidae. The record is from RefSeq and is a predicted model, not a curated record.
GCUACCGAUCGAAUCACAGUGAUUAAACCCAGGCCUGCCAUAUCAACGUUUAGUUGCAUUAUGCGUUUAUAGUUGACGGAACCUUGAUCCACUUGAAUAUAAUGGCGACAGUUGGAUGCAACACUCGAUACGCAGGCGACGCGCGACGAGAAAGUUCGAUUUCCUUUCUCGUUUGCCCAGGAUUCUUUCGCUAUCCGGCAACAAUAGAGUUAUUCUUAUAACCAAUCUAUCGAGAUAUCGACGGGGAAGGUGAUCGAAGCAACGAUGCCAUUACUGCGGAAUAACGAAAGAUAUUGGACGAUAAUGCCCUAUUUAGAGGAGGACUCACCGCUUUGCGUCCAACUGUCGGUGUCGUGGCGGAGUGUGGACCAGUCGUCCUCCAGGUCCCGGGAAGUCGCCAUGGCCGAUGAUCGAAGGUGUCGUCGUCCUCGCGUCGACGCCACGUGCCUGUCGUUCUCUUCAGGAUCGCGAGGAAUUUGCAAUCGACUUCGCACAGUCGCGCGAAUUGCCUUCCAGCCCGUCUUCGGUUUGGGAGAUCCUUAUUGGAGUCCUGCACUACGCGUUCCGCAUCGGACAAUCGCCAGCGACUUUAUAUUUACAUAUGGAUACAUGGAUUUGAUUGGGAAAUCGCACGAGAGGACAAUUUCUAGGAUAUCGAUGUAACAGAUAUUACACAUCGGUGCUCUCGGUUUACAGAAUCGCGACAAGACACGAACCUAAGUUGGAGCGCACACACACACACACACACACAUACACACAGACUGGGCGUUGUAACGACAAACCCGGUUCUACACAUACGAUAAACAUACACACACAUGGAUUUGUUCCACCUCUACUCACUGUCGCCUUUACCGCUACGAAGAACCGCGCGAUUUUCGCGCUGUUUAUUUUUAAAGGAGCGGUUAACUUGGUAUGUGUGUGCGUGUGUCGGUGAUAUACAUAUACAUAUACUUUGAGAGACGCUUACUGAUGUAACUUGUUAACCGCUGUUUUCGUUUUUGCAAUGCCCGAUAAAGGUAAAGCUUUUUUUGGCUCGUUCUCAACUUGGAUGCAAUUAUCGUUCUUACAAUUAGAAUAGACGUUGACAAUUUGAAAUUAGCGAUAAUAAUCGAUAAUUGAUAGACAUGCACCUAUUAUUGACUCAUUAUUCUUAUCGUAUUAUUAUUACUCUACUAUCGCCAAUUUUUUCCUCCAAAUCAUAAAAAAAUAUAAAAAAUGUUUCUUAAUAUUAUAUUGUGCGAAUAAUUCCUAGGCGCAAAUUGUACAUAUUAAAAUCAUUUAUAAAGAUGUUUUAAUUACACGACACUUUAAUUAUACAAAGGUAUCGAAUUUGUGAUUUUCUUAUAAGGAAACGCUAAUGUAUCUAAAAUAGAAAAACUAAUUUACAUAAACGUAUACGAAGAUUAUUUAUUCCUUACUACAAGUUCAGACACACGAAGCGAUCGAAGACACGACGAGUACUCUUUAAAAAAAAAAGUAAGAACGUAUUAU